Oncorhynchus tshawytscha (Chinook salmon) is the source of this 5437-nucleotide long non-coding RNA. Lineage: Eukaryota; Metazoa; Chordata; Actinopteri; Salmoniformes; Salmonidae. The record is from Ensembl.
AAACCUGCUUUCUACUGCACCUCACUAUAGAAACCUGCUGUCUACUGCACCUCACUAUAGAAACCUGCUGUCUACUGCACCUCACUAUAGAAACCUGCUGUCUACUGCACCUCACUAUAGAAACCUGCUGUCUACUGCACCUCACUAUUGAAACCUGCUGUCUACCGCACCUCACUAUAGAACUAUCUGCCUGUACCAGAGAUAUAGACACACAAACCUGCUGCCUGUACCAGAGAUAUAGACACACAAACUUGCUGCCUGUACCAGAGAUAUAGACACACAAACCUGCUGCCUGUACCAGAGAUAUAGACACACAAACUUGCUGCCUGUACCAGAGAUAAAGAAAUUCAGUUACUGUGUUAUUGGGCCGGUUUCCAGGACACAGAUUAAGCCUGGUCCUGAACUAAAAAGCAUGCUAAAUUUAAGAAUCUCUCUUUAAAUAGCUUUUUAGUCCAGGAAUAUAGGCUUAAUUGGUGUCUGGGAAUACAGACCCUGUGUCAUUGGGCUGGUUUCCCAGGCACAGAUUAAGCCUUGUCCUGGUCUAAUGGAGAAUUCAAUAGUCAAUGAAGAAAUACCUUUUUUAGUCCAGAACUAGGAUGAAUCUGUAUCUGGGAAACCAGCCUUUAGAGUUUGCCCCCCCCCCCAGUUACAGUGUUAUUGGGCGGAGUAUCCUAGACACAGAUAACGUCUAGUCUUUGACUAACAAAACACUAUUGGUUUAAUGUUGCUCUGGAAACCAGUUCAUACUAUGUCUCAGAGCUGAGCCCCCUCCCAGCCUAGGUUUCAGCCCUCAGUCAGACAGGGCUGGGCUGGGAUAUUACCAGUAGGAUUUCCAGGCUCUGGUAAUGAUAUCCAGAUGAGAUUUGUAUUUAGCCAUGUUCACACAUUGGUGACAUUUACAGUCUCAGAUAAUAUGGAGAAGGCCUUCAGAAAGUAUUCAUACUCCUUGACUUAUACUACGGUUUGUUGUUACAGAUACAAUUCAAAAUGGAUAUAUAUAUAUAUAUAUUUUAAAUCUCACCCAUCUACACACAAUACCCCACAAUAACAAGGUGAAAACAUGUUUCUUUUAAACAUUUUUGCAAAUGUAUUGAAAAUUAAUUUCCAAAAUCUAAUUUACAUAAGUAUUCACACCCCCUGAGUCAAUACGUGUUAGAAUCACAGUUGGCAGCGAUUACAGCUGUGACUCUUUCUGUGUAAGUCUCUAAGAGCUUUACAUACCUGGAUUGUACAAUAUUUGGCAAUUAUUAUUUUCAAAAGUCUUGCCAUAGAUGUUCAAGCCGAUUUAAGUCAAAACUGUAACUAGGCGACUCAGGAACAUUCAAUGUUGUUUUUCUGAAAGGUGAAUUUGUCUCCCAGUGUUUGUUGGUUAAGAAGUCUGAACCAGGUUUUACUCCUGUGCUGAGCUCUAUUCCAUUUAGUUUUAAUCAUCCCAAAUCCUCCCUAGUCCUUGUCGAUGACAAGUAUACCCAUAACAUGAUGCAGCCACCGCCAUCCUUGAAAAUAUGAAGAGUGGUACUCAGUGAUGUGUUGUGUUGGAUUUGACCCAAAUAUAACACUUUGUAUUCAGGACAUAAAGGUCAUUUCUGUGCCACAUUUUUUUUUUACAGUUUUCAUUUUGUGCCUUGUUGCAAACAGGAUGCAUGUUUUGGAAUAUUUUUUAUUCUGUACAGGCUUCCUUCUUUUCAUUCUAUCAUUUAGGUUAGUAUUGUGGAGUAACUACAAUGUUGUUGAUCCAUCAUCCGUUUUCUCUUAACACAGCCAUUAAACUCUGUAACUGUUUUAAAAUCACCAUUGACAUCAUGGUGAAACCUCUGAGCGGUUUCCUUCCUCCCUGGCAACUGAGUUAGGAAGGACACCUGUAUCUUUGUAGUGACUGGGUGUAUUGAUACACCAUCCAAAGUGUAAUUAAUAACCACCAUGCUCAAAGGGAUAUUCAUUGUCUGUUUUUUGUGUGUUUUCUUUGACCCAUCUACCAAUAGGUGCCGUCCCUGGUCUUUGUGGUUGAAUCUGUGUUUAAAAUUCACUGCUCGACUGAGGGACCUCACAGAUAAUUGUAUGUGUGGGGAACAGAAAUGAGAUAGUCACUCAAACAUCAGGUUAAACACUAUUAUUGCACAAAGCGUGAGUCAAUGCAACUUAUUAUGUGCCUUGUUAAGCAUAUUUUUUUUUACUCCUGAACUUAUUUAGGUCAUAACAAAGGAGUUAAAUACUUAUUGACUAGAGGCAUUUCAGAUUUGUAUUUUUUAAAAUUAAUUUGUAAAAAUGUCUAUAAACACGUUUCAUCUUUGACAUCAUGGAGUAUCGUGUGCAGGCCAGCGACACAACAUCUACACUUAACCCAUUUUUUAAUUCAGGCUGUGACCCCCCAAAAAAUGUAGAGAAAGUCUAGGGGGGAAUACUUUCUGAGGGCCCUGAAUGUCAGGAAGGUCACUGUAAAGAUCAUAUGUUUUAUUUAUUUUACCUUUAUUUAACUAGUCAGUUUAAGAACAAAUUCUUAUUUUCAAUGACGGCCUAGGAACAGUGGGUUAACUUCCUGUUCAGGGGCAGAAUGACAGAUUUGUACCUUGUCAGCUCGGGGAUUUGAACAUGAAACCUUUCGGUUACUAGUCCAACGCUCUAACCACUAGGCUACCCUGCCCUGCCCUCUAACCACCAGGGUACCCUGCCCUGCCCUCUAACCACCAGGGUACCCUACCCUGCCCUCUAACCACCAGGCUACCCUACCCUGCCCUCUAACCACCAGGCUACCCUACCCUGCCCUCUAACCACCAGGCUACCCUACCCUGCCCUCUAACCACCAGGCUACCCUGCCCUGCCCUCUAACCACCAGGGUACCCUACCCUGCCCUCUAACCACCAGGCUACCCUGCCCUGCCCUCUAACCACCAGGGUACCCUGCCCUGCCUCUAACCACCAGGGUACCCUACCCUGCCCUCUAACCACCAGGCUACCCUACCCUGCCCUCUAACCACCAGGCUACCCUACCCUGCCCUCUAACCACCAGGCUACCCUGCCCUGCCCUCUAACCACCAGGCUACCCUGCCCUGCCCUCUAACCACCAGGGUACCCUACCCUGCCCUCUAACCACCAGGCUACCCUGCCCUGCCCUCUAACCACCAGGGUACCCUACCCUGCCCUCUAACCACCAGGGCACCCUACCCUGCCCUCUAACCACCAGGCUACCCUGCCCUGCCCUCUAACCACCAGGGUACCCUACCCUGCCCUCUAACCACCAGGGCACCCUACCCUGCCCUCUAACCACCAGGGUACCCUGCCCUGCCCUCUAACCACCAGGGUACCCUGCCCUGCCCUCUAACCACCAGGGUACCCUGCCCUGCCCUCUAACCACCAGGGACCCUACCCUGCCCUCUAACCACCAGGCUACCCUGCCCUGUUCAUAUAUUGUAGACACAUAGAGAAAUCACACACAAUGUUAUUGUCAGAAGGUUACAACAUAGAUUACUAGACGUGAAACAAAAACAAUAUCUAUGUACCAUAUAUGUACUGAGUAAAAAAUAAAUAUUUAGUUUGAAAUAUAUGUAUUUUGCUGUAUAAAUCAUUUUUAAAUGAAAGAAAGGACAAGAAUGGCAUCACAUUGUCUCUCAGUAACACGGUUACACAUUGUCUCUCAGUAACACGGUUACACAUUGUCUCUCAGUAACACGGUUACACAUUGUCUCUCAGUAACACGGUUACACAUUGUCUCUCAGUAACACGGUUACACAUUGUCUCUCAGUAACACGGUUACACAUUGUCUCUCAGUAACACAGUUACACAUUGUCUCUCAGUAACACGGUUACACAUUGUCUCUCAGUAACACGGUUACACAUUGUCUCUCAGUAACACAGUUACAGAGCAUCCGGAAAGUUUUCAGACCCCUUGACCUUUUCCACACUUCGUUACGUCACAGCCUUUUAUUAUGAAAUAGAUUAAAUCGUUAUUUUCAAUCAUUAAUCGACACACAAUACCCCAUAAUGACAUCACAAUACCCCAUAAUGACAUCACAAUACCCCAUAAUGACAUCACAAUACCCCAUAAUGACAAAGCAAAAAACUUUUUUUUAGAAAUGUUUGCAAAUGUAUUACAAAUAAAAAGCUAAUAUCACAUUUACAUCAGUAUUCAGAAGCUUUACUCAGUACUUUGUUGAAGCACGUUUGGCAGCGAUUACAGCCAUUAGUCUUCUUGUGUAUGACGCUACAAUCUUGGCACACUUGUAUUUGGGGAGUUUCUCCCAUUCUUCUCUGCAGAUCCUCUCAAGCUCUGUCAGGUUGGAUGGGGAGCAUCGCUGCACAGCUAUUUUCAGGUCUCUCCAGAGAUGUUAAAGUCCAGGCUCUGGCUGGGCCACUCAAUGACAUUCAAUGACAUUCAGAGACUUGUCACAAAGCCACUCCUGCAUUGUCUUGGCUGUGUGCUUAUGGGCAUUAUCCUGUUGGAAGAUGAACCUUCGCCCCAGUCUGAGGUCCAGAGCGCUCUGGAGCAGGUUUUCAUCAAGGAUCUCUCUGUACUUUGCUCCGUUCAUCUUUGCCUCGAUCCUGACUAGUCUCUCAGUACCUGCUGCAGAAAAACAUCCCCACAGCAUGAUGCUGCCACCACCAUGCUUCACCGUAGGGAUGGUGCCAGGUUCCCUCCAGACAUGAUGCUGCCACCACCAUGCUUCACCGUAGGGAUGGUGCCAGGUUUCCUCCAGACAUGAUGCUUGGAAUUCAGGCCAAAGAGUUCAAUCUUGGUUUCAUCAGACCAGAGAAUCUUGUUUCUCAUGGUCUGAGAGUCCUUAGGUGCCUUUUGGCAAAGUCCAAACGGGCUGUCAUGUGCCUUUUACUGAGGAGUGGCUUCCGUCUGGCCACUCUACCAUAAAGGCCUGAUUUGCUGGAGUGCUGCAGAGAUGGUUGUCCUUCUGGAAGGUUCUCCCAUCUCCACAGAGGAACUCUGGAGCUCUGUCAGAGUGACCAUCAGGUUCUUGGUCACCUCCCUGACCAAGGCCCUUCUCCCCCGAUUGCUCAGUUUGGCUGGGCGGCUCUAGGAAGAGCCUUGGUGGUUCCAAACGUCCUCCAUUUAAGAAUGAUGGAGGUCCCUGUGUUCUUGGGGACAUUUAAUGCUACAGACAUAUUUUGGUACCCUUCCCCAGAUCUGUGCCUCGACACAAUCCUGUCUCGUAGCUCUACGGACAAUUCCUUUGACCUCAUGGCUUGGUUUUGCCCUGACAUCUGUGGGACCUUUAUAUAAACAGGUUUGGGCCUUUCCAAAUCAUGUCAAAUCAAUGUAAUUUACCACUGGUGGACUCCAUCAAGUUGUAGAAACAUCUCAAGGAAGAUCAAUGGGAACAGGAUGAACCUGAGCUCAAUUUCGAGUCUCAUAACAAAGGGUCUGAAUACGUAUGUAAAUAAGAUAUUUCUAUAGUUUAUUUGUAAUAAAUGUGCAAACAAUUUCAAACCUGU